UACGGGGGGGGUAAGCGUUGUUCGGAAUUACUGGGCGUAAAGGGCUCGUAGGCGGCCAACUAAGUCAGACGUGAAAUCCCUCAGCUUAACUGGGGAACUGCGUCUGAUACUGGAUGGCUUGGAUUCGGGAGAGGAAUGCGGAAUUCCAGGUGUAGCGGUGAAAUUCGUAGAUAUUCGGAAGAACACCAGUGGCGAAGGCGACUUACUGGACGAUUGUUGACGCUGAGGUGCGAAAGCGUGGGGAGCAAACAGG
Molecule: ribosomal RNA, 253 nt
Filed under: uncultured bacterium
Lineage: Bacteria
Description: partial 16S ribosomal RNA
Rfam family: Bacterial small subunit ribosomal RNA
Source: RNAcentral